This 463-nucleotide ribosomal RNA is filed under the name uncultured bacterium. RNAcentral's name for it is "partial 16S ribosomal RNA". It matches the Rfam family "Bacterial small subunit ribosomal RNA", at positions 28 to 507 of the family's 1533-position model. The record is from RNAcentral.
GAUGAACGCUGACAGAAUGCUUAACACAUGCAAGUCGAUGGGGAAGUGGUGCUUGCACCAUGGUAACCAUGGCGGACGGGUGAGUAACGCGUAAGGAACUUACCUGCGGGACCGGGAUAACAGCAGGAAACUGCUGACAAGACCGGAUAAGGUCAUUAAGCUGCAUAGCUUAGUGAUGAAAGGAGACGCCUGCGGAGAGCCUUGCGUCCUAUUAGCUAGUUGGAGGGGUAACGGCCCACCAAGGCGAAGAUAGGUAGCCGGCCUGAGAGGGUGGACGGCCACAAGGGGACUGAGAUACGGCCCUUACUCCUACGGGAGACAGCAGUGGGGAAUAUUGGACAAUGGGGGCAACCCUGAUCCAGCAAUUCUGUGUGCACGAAGACGGUUUUCGGAUUGUAAAGUGCUUUCAGCAGGGAAGAAGGAAGUGACGGUACCUGCAGAAGAAGCGACGGCUAAAUACGUG